GCAAGUCGAACGAAGAAAUUGUUCUUAGUGGCGAAUGGGUGAGUAACACGUAGUUAAUGUGCCCUCAAGUAAGGGACAACAGUUGGAAACGAAUGCUAAUACAGGAUACGUAAUUACCUCGCAUGGGCAUAUUAGAAAAGGAGCGUUUGCUUCGCUAGAGGAUGAGAGUGCGCCAUAUUAGCUAGUUGGUAGGGUAAAGGCCUACCAAGGCGAUGAUAUGUAGCUGGUUUGAGAGGCUGAUC
This 242-nucleotide ribosomal RNA is filed under the name uncultured bacterium. Its description in RNAcentral is "partial 16S ribosomal RNA". It matches the Rfam family "Bacterial small subunit ribosomal RNA", at positions 57 to 305 of the family's 1533-position model. The record is from RNAcentral.